GCUUAACACAUGCAAGUCGAGGGGCAUCAGGAAGAAAGCUUGCUUUCUUUGCUGGCGACCGGCGCACGGGUGAGUAACACGUAUCCAACCUGCCCUUUACUCGGGGAUAGCCUUUCGAAAGAAAGAUUAAUACCCGAUAGCAUAAUGAUUCCGCAUGGUUUCAUUAUUAAAGGAUUCCGGUAAAGGAUGGGGAUGCGUUCCAUUAGGUUGUUGGUGGGGUAACGGCCCACCAAGCCUUCGAUGGAUAGGGGUUCUGAGAGGAAGGUCCCCCACAUUGGAACUGAGACACGGUCCAAACUCCUACGGGAGGCAGCAGUGAGGAAUAUUGGUCAAUGGGCGCUAGCCUGAACCAGCCAAGUAGCGUGAAGGAUGAAGGCUCUAUGGGUCGUAAACUUCUUUUAUAUAAGAAUAAAGUGCAGUAUGUAUACUGUUUUGUAUGUAUUAUAUGAAUAAGGAUCGGCUAACUCCGUGCCAGCAGCCGCGGUAAUACGGAGGAUCCGAGCGUUAUCCGGAUUUAUUGGGUUUAAAGGGAGCGUAGGUGGACUGGUAAGUCAGUUGUGAAAGUUUGCGGCUCAACCGUAAAAUUGCAGUUGAUACUGUCAGUCUUGAGUACAGUAGAGGUGGGCGGAAUUCGUGGUGUAGCGGUGAAAUGCUUAGAUAUCACGAAGAACUCCGAUUGCGAAGGCAGCUCACUGGACUGCAACUGACACUGAUGCUCGAAAGUGUGGGUAUCAAACAGGAUUAGAUACCCUGGUAGUCCACACAGUAAACGAUGAAUACUCGCUGUUUGCGAUAUACAGUAAGCGGCCAAGCGAAAGCAUUAAGUAUUCCACCUGGGGAGUACGCCGGCAACGGUGAAACUCAAAGGAAUUGACGGGGGCCCGCACAAGCGGAGGAACAUGUGGUUUAAUUCGAUGAUACGCGAGGAACCUUACCCGGGCUUAAAUUGCAGUGGAAUGAUGUGGAAACAUGUCAGUGAGCAAUCACCGCUGUGAAGGUGCCGCAUGGUUGUCGUCAGCUCGUGCCGUGAGGUGUCGGCUUAAGUGCCAUAACGAGCGCAACCCUUAUCUUUAGUUACUAACAGGUCAUGCUGAGGACUCUGGAGAGACUGCCGUCGUAAGAUGUGAGGAAGGUGGGGAUGACGUCAAAUCAGCACGGCCCUUACGUCCGGGGCUACACACGUGUUACAAUGGGGGGUACAGAAGGCAGCUAGCGGGUGACCGUAUGCUAAUCCCAAAAGCCUCUCUCAGUUCGGAUCGAAGUCUGCAACCCGACUUCGUGAAGCUGGAUUCGCUAGUAAUCGCGCAUCAGCCACGGCGCGGUGAAUACGUUCCCGGGCCUUGUACACACCGCCCGUCAAGCCAUGGGAGCCGGGGGUACCUGAAGUACGUAACCGCAAGGAUCGUCCUAGGGUAAAACUGGUGACUGGGGC
RNAcentral lists this ribosomal RNA (1432 nucleotides) under uncultured organism. RNAcentral's name for it is "16S ribosomal RNA". It matches the Rfam family "Bacterial small subunit ribosomal RNA". The record is from RNAcentral.